RNAcentral lists this ribosomal RNA (464 nucleotides) under uncultured bacterium. Its description in RNAcentral is "partial 16S ribosomal RNA". It matches the Rfam family "Bacterial small subunit ribosomal RNA", at positions 338 to 795 of the family's 1533-position model. The record is from RNAcentral.
CCUACGGGAGGCAGCAGUGGGGAAUAUUGCGCAAUGGGCGAAAGCCUGACGCAGCGACGCCGCGUGAGGGAUGAAGGUCUUCGGAUCGUAAACCUCUGUCAGCAGGGAAGAACGGUCACUGUGCUAAUCAGCAGUGAAUUGACGGUACCUGCAAAGGAAGCACCGGCUAACUCCGUGCCAGCAGCCGCGGGAAUACGGGGGGUGCGUGGGUUAAUCGGAUUUACUGGGCGUAAGGCGCGCGUAGGCGGUAUGUCAAGUCAGGGGUAAAAUACCGCGCUUAACGUGGGAACUGCCUUUGAAACUGGCAAUCUGGAGUGUGUGAGAGGUAAGUGGAAUGCCUGGUGUAGAGGUGAAAUCCGUAGAUAUCUGGAGGAACAUCAGUGGCGAAGGCGACUAUCUGGCACAUAACUGACGCUGAGGAGCGAAAGCGUGGGUAGCAAACAGGAUUAGAUACCCGAGUAGUC